UGGUGGCUGGCAUUGUGCCCUUUUUAUAAUGUGUGUUUGUCCAACAUGUUGAGUGCGGUGGUCCCAAACAGAUGGACAAUUUCAUCAAACAGCACUCUUCUACCUGAUCUUAAUCAAUUAUUGGGCGCUUACCUUUUCAUGUAUGGACUACAGUUUUGUCCCUCCCUCCCUUCUCUAUCCUGUUGGAUGAGUGGCAUGUUGCCCUUAUCUUGUACUUUGCAUUUUGGAAUGCUUGAUAUGAAUCAAAUAAUUGGUACUUAACCCUUCAUAUAUGGGCUACAAUUAUUUGAUGGCCUGGUGUAAAAGCUAGGGAAGAGAAUUAAUGCAUUCAUCCCUUAGAAGUUUCCUGGUUUUAAUCAUUGUAUCUCUUUUCUGUUUUUCAGGAACAUGUAAAUGAAAUUGAUUUCAACUACAUGGAAUAUGCAAGGCAGAGGUUUGAACAAUAUUGGUUAAGGAAGCCUGAGCUCUUGGGUUCUUCUGGACCUGCUUCUGACGGUACCACCGGUGCUUACACUACUAUCUAGUUCCUAAUUUGCUUUCUGUUUCUUUUCACACUGUGCAAACUGGGAAUAUCAUUUUGAAGCAUAAUCAUGGAGCCCAUACACUGAUUAGUAAUUGCAAAAGAAUCAUUUUUAUUAUAUUUCGAGAAUAUUAUUUGUGUUUAAAUGUUGCUUCUAUUCAUCAAAUUGUCAUUCCUUAUCCUUUUAUCAUAUUGAUUUUUAAUCUAUGAACAUUUUUACCCCAAACUAAGUGCUGUCAUCCUUAAAAGUGAUGGACAUGUUUAAACCCCAAUUUUUGAAAAUUUUAGAACUAAUUAAAAACUCCCAUUCACAUCUUAAGAAGCUGGUACACACAAUGAAUGAGAAGCUGGUACACUUGAUUCACACAUCCAACCCUGAUUUGGUAAUAAUCAUCCCCUAUUAACAAGAUCCCCUGUAGGAUGUUUGUCCUUUCCGUUUCUCAAUUCAUUGAGCUUAAUUUGAUAACUUGCUCAAGUCAGUCUGACUUGAUUUUGAACUCCAUUACAUUGAAAUGUGAAACUGCAACAGCUAUGAAGCUUCUUUGCUCAAGCUCAAAAGCCACCACACAGAUCCCACACUAGAUCUAGAUCCCAAUCCGUUUUGAUUAUUGAACUGGUAGAUCUUGAUACUCCAUUGUCAAUGUUUCUCCACUAGUAGCAGCUGUCCUGGUUUUUACACCUAAUGUUCAUGAUUCCAUCUAGCCGACUGAGGAAAUGAACCCAGAUGUAAGGCUUGGGUUCAGCUUUACCAGCUUGAAGGAGUUUAAUCUAACCCACCCUGUAAACAUCAACGUAUCAUCAUCUAAACCAGGAAGGACUUGAAACUCAAUUCUUUGUAAUGCAAGUUUUAGCAAAUGGUCUUCUUCCCUUUCCCAGUUUAUUCUAAUGUGAGUUCUGGUUUGCAGGUGAUUUGUUCAAGAAUUCAGGGAAUUCAUGAGCUCAGCAAGGAAGCUAGCUGGUUGGAUGAUUAUAGCAAAUAAAGAGGUUCUUCACUUUGGUUCUUGGGCGUUCAAGUCAGGCUGACCUCUGGAAACUUUUCAAUCUCUGUAUUUACUUCUAAGCAGGACUUCAAUAACAUUUCAAUCAUUUUAUUUUUUCCCCACUACACAUGGUUACAAUAAAGACAUUUUGGCGAUAUUUGGUACUUGGGACGAAAAAUAAAAAUGAAUAUUUUGUUUUCAUUUUUAUUUCCGUUUUAAUAGGAAUGGAUUUGGUAAUAAUAAUUCAUUUACAUAUAAUUUAAAAUAAUUUUUUAUUUUUUCAAUUUGACCAAGCAUGUGUUGAAAGGGUUUUUCCUUUUUCUUUUUUUUUUUUCCUUUUUUGCUAAAUAAAAAUGGUAAAAAUAAUAAUAUUUACUCAAUAAAUAAAAAUUAACCAUAAAAGUCAUACAAACUUAAUGAAAAUGAGAUUUUAUUUAUUUUAUAAUUAUUUUUUAUUUUAUUUUUAUCAUCAUUUAUAUUUUAGUAAAUAAAGAAAUGUGAUAGAAUAUUUUAUAACUUCAAAACCUUAACUAUAAAAAUUCCAUUUCUCAAUUCAUAUUUUUAAAAUUUGGGGAUACACAAAUGACAAUUAACUUUUCUUAAAUUUGUUAGUUAAAAAAUAAUUUUACUUAUCAAUAACAAGUUUGAGUUCUCUAAUUAUUAUUUUAUUUAUUUAAUUUUUAUCCUCAUAUAUGAAAAAAAAAAAAAGUAUAUAAGGAAAAAAAUAUAUAAAACUAUAACUAAAUUACCUCAUGUGAAAAAAGGUCUCCCAUCAUAAUGACUUAAUUUCAAAUAAUAUCCUAAAUAAAUUAAAAUUAAAAUAAAAUAACAAUAAAAAAAUAUUUUUUAAAUAAUUUGAUUUGAUUUGAUUUGAUUUUUCUUAAGUUUUUAAUCACUAUUGAUUUGAAAUUUUGUAAAAUAUAUUUACUCAAAUCCGCAAAAUGAAGUUAAUCUUUAUUUAAAAAAGAAUACCUUAUACAUGAGUACAACAAAAUUUUGUAUAAAUAUUCUAUAUUUAUUUUUUAUAUUUUUAUUUGAUUCAUUAUUUUUGUUUGUACAAGGUAAUAAAAUUUGAUACGAUUUACUAACAUAAUUUGAACUUGACACAUUUUUUAUAGGUUUUAAAAAUAGAUUUUUACAUAAAUCUACAUAACCCUUUGACUUCAAUCCAUCUAUUUAUUAAUUAUAUUGAAUAACUUGAUUAUAACCCAUAAUCAAUUCAACCCAUAUUCCAUUUAUUUAAAAUUUGAUUUUAAAUAAAUAGAUUAAUUGAAUCAUAAUUAUGUCAAAUAAAAAAAUUACUAAUGUUAAAUAAAACCCAAAUAGACAAUGUACUUACCAUGUCAAUUUUGAGAAAAGAACAAUAUAUAUAUAUAUAGUUGACUGGAACUGCAAAUUGAAAAGGGUGUUGGACUUGAGAUGCGUAGAGAAUCAGACCAUUCCCAGAAACUGUGGUCAUCCCAAAACCAACUCAAGGGUCCAUUCAAAUUCCACCACAAAUCACCAAUCCAAAAUCAAAAUACACAAAAACCCAAAACCCCAAAAGCCAAAAUAAACAAAAAUAUCUUCUCCACCCUCCCUAACCCAGUCCUCUCCUUCUCUCCUUCUCACACACUCCAACCCAUAACCAAGCCUAAAAAAAAGAGUCCCACUA
This 3154-nucleotide long non-coding RNA is filed under the name Vitis vinifera (wine grape). RNAcentral's name for it is "long non-coding RNA (VVIN_LNC004272)". The record is from RNAcentral. Lineage: Eukaryota; Viridiplantae; Streptophyta; Magnoliopsida; Vitales; Vitaceae.